Molecule: long non-coding RNA, 446 nt
Filed under: Equus caballus (horse)
Lineage: Eukaryota; Metazoa; Chordata; Mammalia; Perissodactyla; Equidae
Description: lncRNA (ENSECAG00000044235.1)
Source: RNAcentral
CUUGGCUCUUUGUGCAAUCAGCUAUUGGGUAUAGACAAGCAGAUGCUAUCUGGCUCUGAGGCUCCAGUCUCCUCAGGUCCUCCAGGUUUCCCUGACUUUGAGUCCUGCGGAGAGGGGAUUGAGACGUGACUCCCUCCCAAAUGGCCCUAAGCACCUGAGGGGCUGACGACCCUUGGAAGGAGGAGCCAGAUGGAAUCAUCUCCCUGCUAUUGUCUCAGCUGUCAGCACACUAGCACAGGAACAGAUGACAGAAGCACAAGGAUAGGAUUUUAUCGGAAAAUUCACAUACCGAAAGCAUCGGGAGUGACUUUAUCAAAGGAAACAGAUAAAGGAUAAUCAUCCUUGUGAGUGAUCCUACCGAGAAUGUGGUGACUUAAUCCAUCAAGGGUUUCUGGAAUCCUGAAUUCCUAGGGCAGGUCAAUGUUACGGGCCUCAGAGGACAGAGG